Molecule: long non-coding RNA, 262 nt
Filed under: Lathyrus oleraceus (garden pea)
Lineage: Eukaryota; Viridiplantae; Streptophyta; Magnoliopsida; Fabales; Fabaceae
Description: Pisum sativum (pea) long non-coding RNA (PSAT_LNC002187)
Source: RNAcentral
AAGCAUCUCAACCAUAUGAUCCAUUUAAAUUGUUUUAAUCCUUUGCAUUGGUUCUAAUUACCACAUGUGCUUCUCAGUUGACUAAGAUCCAUGUAGAAUGCGCGCGCUGAUCCAUCUGAUCUGCCACCUCAAUUAAUGAGGGAGAUCAGAUGGUCCACGUUUUUUUUGAAUUUCUGUUAAUUUCUUUUAUUUGCAUUAUUUUCAUUCAUUCAUAUUAAUUUUAUUAUUGAUCCAAAAAAUAUGGGACUUUCACCAAAAAAAU